This 3342-nucleotide long non-coding RNA is filed under the name Daucus carota (carrot). Its description in RNAcentral is "long non-coding RNA (DCAR_LNC001298)". The record is from RNAcentral. Lineage: Eukaryota; Viridiplantae; Streptophyta; Magnoliopsida; Apiales; Apiaceae.
UUUGUAAAUAUAAAUAGUCCUUCCUACACCUUAUUUUCAACCGUAAAUCAUUUUCACCAGUUUCUCUGCACGAAUAUCGAGAGAAACCAAACUUUGUUCUUCGUGUUCUUCGUAAUCAAACGAGGAUUUGAAGGUGUUAUUGGAAUCCGAUGGAGGCGUAUGAAUAGUCAAAACGAAGCUCUCGACGCGUAGAAUCUAUUACAAUCAUUAGUUUCGGUGCAGAUUCAACGGGUAAAUUACUAUUAAUUUUAUAAAAUUCGAAUUAUUUGUUUUUAAAUGAUGAAUUUUCGUAGAUGAUUGUUUUUGAUUGUUUUGAUGAUGCCAUGUUGUAGUACGUGUUUUUCUCGUCGAUUUGGUAUAUUAUACGUCAAAAACGGAGUUCAAUAACAUGCUGAAAAAGUGGUUUGAUUCUUGGUUUGCUGUUUUUGAUGUUCUUGAGCAAACUCGCCGGAAACUUUAAUCUUUUGGCCGGGUUUUUGAUCUGUUGAGUCUGGGCUUAAUUGGAAGCCACCAGUAUGUUUGUCUUGAGGCAGGAAGUCGAAUUAUGUGGUCAAAAUAAGUGUUAAAUUCGAGAGGAGCUCUGCCGGAGUCUGGAGAAGCUCGCCGGCGGCAAGUUUUCUCCGAGCUUUUCCGGCUAUAUUCCGGAUCCUUUGACGGUUAUAACGGCAUGGUUGAGUUCCUGGAGUUUUAUUCUAUAUAUCUGCACGUUUUGGCCAGGUUAUGGGCAUUAUAACUCUGUCUCCGGCGAGGGAAGAGUCGGCCGGGGUAAAAUUGCAGUUAGGUCCCCCAUGUUUCGGGAGUGAUGAAGGUUUAGUACCAUGGUUUUAUUUCUGUCGUUGUAGACACCAAACUUUCCAAAGUUUGCACUCUGCACCCCAAGUUCAAACUUUUAAACAGUGACACUUUAAACCUUUUCAUAUUAUUUUCAGAAAUUGUUUUAUUUAUUUAUUUUAAAUUUCAAAAAUUAUUGAUUUUAAAUUCAAAAAUGCUUUUUAAAUAUUUGUUUAUUCAAAAAUAAAUCUAAAUUAGUUUAUUAAUUAAUUUUAAUUAGUAAUUAAUUAUUUUAAUUGGUCAAUUAAUUUAAAUAUUAAUUGGUCAAUUAUUUUAAUUAAUUAUUAAUUGAUUUUAAUUGAUUAAUUAAUGGGAUUUAAUUAUUCUUUUUGAUUUAAAAAUUCUGAAAAAUAGUUUCGAGCUUUGAAAUAUUUCUCUAAAUUAUUUUCAAGGCUCGUCAAUUGUUUCUGAAUGAUUUCAAGUCCCAUGUUGAGUAUCCGGACUUGAUUAUUUAUCCGAAAAGUGAUUCUUUUAUCAUUUUAAUUCCGAAAAAUGUUUAAAAAAUUCUAGAAAAUCCCCGAAAAAUCAUUUUGAACCCAAAACUUGAUUUGACAUCAAGUGGGGAGAGAAACUUCAUAUGUAAUGUGUUAUCUGCUUUGUGUGUGAUGUGUUAUAUGUUGAUAGUGGAAUCAGAAAACAGCUUAGAUCAUAACUUUUGAUCUGUAAGUCGGAAUCGAGUGAAACGAAAGAGAGAUAAAAGCUUAUAAAGCCUAUUUCAAUAUGACAUGAUAAUAUGGUGGAGUCAAGAAUGUGAUGAUGUGUUGUUAAAUAUAUAGAAUGUGAUAAUAUGUGAUCUAAUUGCUAUUAAGUGAUGAUUACGUGAUAUACGUGUUUAUUCAUGAUAUUAUACACAUGUGAUAAAUGAUUUGAAUGACAUAGUUUUGGGUAAUGAUUGAUAUUGGAUAGGAGUAUAUGGAUUAUAGGAAUUCAAGUGGAUUGACUGGUUGAUUGAAAAUAGGUUGACAGGUGGAUAGUCUUAUAAGUAGACGAGACGCUGUCAAAUUAUCAAUAGGAUUUAUAUGAUAAUUGAUUUGUGAUAUGUUAUGUGGAAGAUGACUUGACUAUAUGAUAAAGACAAAGCAUGAUUAUGUGUUAAGUGAUAUUUGAUAGGUAAAGGGAUAUAUAAGUGGGUAUCGAUAUACGUGAUAUGUAUAUGCGAUAAAUUGAUUAGUGAUUAUAGUAUUAUUUUAUUCUCGUAAAGGAUUUGGACGAGACGUGUACGCUUGAAGACGUUCAGAAAGUCAAGUGAUAUUGCAAAGCGAAUAAGGCACGAAUCGAGGAAGUGAAGCUAUAUUGCGAAUAGAGUAUAGCCAGAGAUGGUCUAGAUAUUAUGUUAUGCAUAGAUUGUGAAAGUGGAAAGAUGAGAUUGAGCUAUGAGUUGGGAAUUGGAUUUAAGGCAAGAAUCCUAAACCCUUCUCUUUGUUAUAUUGCAAAUAUUCUGAUCCAUUCCUUUGGUAUAUGUUUCAAGUAUUCAUGCCUUUCUUUUCUAUGUUUAAAAGUGUGAGUAUUCUGCCCAUUCUUUCAAAUCUUCACUUUCUAGAAAAUUUCCGUUUUACAAAUUAAUUCGAAGUUCAGAUUGUCAUUGAAGCAUGUGUUGCUCAGUGAUAGUUAGAGCUUUGAAUGAAUUGGGAUCUUCUUGAUUAUUCAACCCGCCAUUGUCAUGCUGGUUUAGCAGGCUAAAUUCAGUUGCUUAGCCGAUAAUGGUAGAUACUGAAUAGUUGAGGAUUUCUUGAACCGUGAUUUAUGAAAUGAUGGAUCAUAAUUUAUGAAUAGAUUAUUAUCAAAGUUUGAAUUGGAAUUAUUCUGUUGUUGAUGAUAUUUAUGAUGAUGUUCUGUUGAUUUACAUUGGCUUCUUGAGUUGAAUUAGAGAAUUGGAUUAUUGUUUUUAUAUAAACAUGUGGACCAGAUGAGUGGUCAGACCAGAUGAAUGGUCAUGUUAGGCCAAUGAGUGCCUUGGAUCCAGUGAUAGAGCAUGGCGGGGCCUGCUCGGGGUUAGGUAUGACUGAUCAGCAUCCUAACCUUGGUUUUUAAUUAAAAUGUGAUAGUCCAAUUCAAUAAUUCUUUGGAAAGAUUGAAUUCCUCAGUAUUCAAUUGCUACAAGGUAUUGUGAUUUUCUUAUACAAUACCUAAACUCGUGAACUCAGGUUGAAUCCUUUUAUAUCUUGAACUCGUGAACUUCUGUUAUAUCAUUUCAGAAUUAUCAUUGUUUAUUACUACUUGCUGAGCAUUGUUGCUCACUCUUGCUAUUCUCUUUUAACCAUUUCAGAAAGGAUUAAAGAUGAAUGGCUAGUCUAUGAUUGCGAGUAAAGCUAAUGCUAGGCGAGGAGACAGAGUUGAGGAUCCAGUGGUCGAGGAGUGUUCAGGAAAGUUGAUGAGGUUGGUGCAAGCUGGAAUAGUUGACAGUGAUUCUUCUUAUCGAAGAUGAUCUGAUUUGGUAAGAGAAGUUGUGUAAUAAUAGUGGUUGAUUCUAAUUUCAAUGCUGUAACCUGGAUGCGAUCCUGUUGUUUUAGG